UAUUGCGCAAUGGGGGGAACCCUGACGCAGCAACGCCGCGUGAAGGAAGAAGGUUUUCGGAUCGUAAACUUCUUUAAGUGUGGAAGAUAAUGACGGUACACACAGAAUAAGCCACGGCUAACUACGUGCCAGCAGCCGCGGUAAUACGUAGGGAGCAAGCGUUGUCCGGAUUUACUGGGUGUAAAGGGUGCGUAGGCGGUUUGGUAAGUCAGAAGUGAAAUCCAUGGGCUUAACCCAUGAACUGCUUUUGAAACUAUCGAACUUGAGUGAAGUAGAGGUAGGCGGAAUUCCCGGUGUAGCGGUGAAAUGCGUAGAGAUCGGGAGGAACACCAGUGGCGAAGGCGGCCUACUGGGCUUUAACUGACGCUGAGGCACGAAAGCAUGGGUAGCA
Molecule: ribosomal RNA, 391 nt
Filed under: uncultured bacterium
Lineage: Bacteria
Description: bacterial SSU rRNA
Rfam family: Bacterial small subunit ribosomal RNA
Source: RNAcentral